Molecule: ribosomal RNA, 426 nt
Filed under: uncultured bacterium
Lineage: Bacteria
Description: bacterial SSU rRNA
Rfam family: Bacterial small subunit ribosomal RNA
Source: RNAcentral
UGGGGAAUUUUGGACAAUGGGCGAAAGCAUGAUCCAGCAAUGCCGCGUGCUGGAAGAAGGCCCUCGGGUUGUAAACUGCUUUUGUACGGAACGAAACGGUCUGCCCUAAUACGGCGGGCUAAGGACGGUACCGUAAGAAUAAGCACCGGCUAACUACGUGCCAGCAGCCGCGGUAAUACGUAGGGUGCGAGCGUUAAUCGGAAUUACUGGGCGUAAAGCGUGCGCAGGCGGUUAUGCAAGACAGAUGUGAAAUCCCCGGGCUCAACCUGGGAACUGCCUUUGUGACUGCAAGGCUGGAGUGCGGCAGAGGGGGAUGGAAUUCCGCGUGUGUCAGUGAAAUGCGUAGAUAUGCGAAGGAACACCGAUGGCGAAGGCAAUCCCCUGGGCCUGCACGGACGCUCACGCCCGAAGGCGUGGGGGGCGAAC